Long non-coding RNA from Crotalus tigris (Tiger rattlesnake), 331 nucleotides. RefSeq lists it as uncharacterized. The record is from RefSeq and is a predicted model, not a curated record. NCBI's taxonomy places the organism in Eukaryota, Metazoa, Chordata, Lepidosauria, Squamata, Viperidae. The transcript has 3 exons.
CAACAUUGCCUACAAAUGCAAAAGGAAUGGAUUUUGGAUUUUGAAGAAGGAUGGCACAACACCGCUUUCAUCAGAAAGGUUCUGAUAGUUUUAGCCUAAAGGUCUCAGGAUUUUCUUGCUACUCGUUCACCAAGCACAGUUGAUCUUCAGGUCGACAAAUUUCAGGGUACAUAAUGAUUUUAAUGGCCUGCAAGGCAAUCAAAACGCUCAGUUCUAGAGGAGAUCAACCCUGACUGCUCUUUAGAAGGCCAGAUCCUGAAGUUGAAACUCAAGUACUUUGUCCACCUAAUAAGAAGGAAGGACUCACUGGAGAAGAGCCUAAUGCUGGGAA